RNAcentral lists this ribosomal RNA (292 nucleotides) under uncultured bacterium. Its description in RNAcentral is "partial 16S ribosomal RNA". It matches the Rfam family "Bacterial small subunit ribosomal RNA", at positions 505 to 796 of the family's 1533-position model. The record is from RNAcentral.
GUGUCAGCAGCCGCGGUAAUACGGAGGAUGCAAGCGUUAUCCGGAAUGAUUGGGCGUAAAGGGUCCGCAGGUGGCGAUGUAAGUCUGCUGUUAAAGAGUCAUGCUCAACAUGAUAAGAGCAGUGGAAACUACAGAGCUAGAGUGCGUUCGGGGCAGAGGGAAUUCCUGGUGUAGCGGUGAAAUGCGUAGAUAUCAGGAAGAACACCGGUGGCGAAAGCGCUCUGCUAGGCCGCAACUGACACUGAGGGACGAAAGCUAGGGGAGCGAAUGGGAUUAGAUACCCUUGUAGUCC